AUCAAAACAUUUAUCAGCAUACAGAGGAUUUAGUGAGCAUAUUUUUUAACAGAAAUCUAUUUUAGGAUAAAAAUAUGCAAAUUACAACUAAAAGGAAGGCAGUGUCCUUGAUGAUUUUGACCUUGGUGUUGUGGCUCGCGUCACUUGUAUCACCCGGAUGGGUUAUUAUAUCGCUCAAAGAAAUAAAAGAGGAGAGAGUUUCUAGGACGUUUCGCGGGGGUAUAUUUUACUUCUUAUUGUGUACAGAAGAUGAAUGUGUCUUGGAAAAUUACAAUUAUAAUCACGUGUUUUCCAAGG
This is a long non-coding RNA of Saccostrea cuccullata (small rock oyster), 297 nucleotides long. RefSeq lists it as uncharacterized. The transcript is spliced from 3 exons. The record is from RefSeq and is a predicted model, not a curated record. Lineage: Eukaryota; Metazoa; Mollusca; Bivalvia; Ostreida; Ostreidae.